This 492-nucleotide ribosomal RNA is filed under the name uncultured bacterium. RNAcentral's name for it is "partial 16S ribosomal RNA". It matches the Rfam family "Bacterial small subunit ribosomal RNA", at positions 29 to 507 of the family's 1533-position model. The record is from RNAcentral.
AGUGAACGCUGGCGGUAGGCCUAACACAUGCAAGUCGAACGGCAGCACAGUAAGAGCUUGCUCUUACGGGUGGCGAGUGGCGGACGGGUGAGGAAUACAUCGGAAUCUACUUUUUCGUGGGGGAUAACGUAGGGAAACUUACGCUAAUACCGCAUACGACCUACGGGUGAAAGCAGGGGAUCUUCGGACCCUGCGCGAUUGAAUGAGCCGAUGUCGGAUUAGCUAGUUGGCGGGGUAAAGGCCCACCAAGGCGACGAUCCGUAGCUGGUCUGAGAGGAUGAUCAGCCACACUGGAACUGAGACACGGUCCAGACUCCUACGGGAGGCAGCAGUGGGGAAUAUUGGACAAUGGGCGCAAGCCUGAUCCAGCCAUACCGCGUGGGUGAAGAAGGCCUUCGGGUUGUAAAGCCCUUUUGUUGGGAGAGAAAAGCAGCAGGUUAAUACCCCGCUGUUCUGACGGUACCCAAAGAAUAAGCACCGGCUAACUUCGUG